RNAcentral lists this ribosomal RNA (253 nucleotides) under uncultured bacterium. RNAcentral describes it as "partial 16S ribosomal RNA". It matches the Rfam family "Bacterial small subunit ribosomal RNA", at positions 524 to 776 of the family's 1533-position model. The record is from RNAcentral.
CACGUAGGGCGCAAGCGUUGUCCGGAAUUAUUGGGCGUAAAGAGCUCGUAGGCGGUCUGUUGCGUCCGCUGUGAAAACUCGGGGCUUAACCCCGAGCCUGCAGUGGAUACGGGCAGACUAGAGGUAGGUAGGGGAGAAUGGAAUUCCCGGUGUAGCGGUGAAAUGCGCAGAUAUCGGGAGGAACACCGGUGGCGAAGGCGGCUCUCUGGGCCUUACCUGACGCCGAGGAGCGAAAGCGUGGGGAGCGAACAGG